RNAcentral lists this transfer RNA (64 nucleotides) under Syntrophorhabdaceae bacterium. Its description in RNAcentral is "tRNA-Ser". RNAcentral also lists the same sequence under 1 other name. The record is from RNAcentral. Lineage: Bacteria; Pseudomonadati; Thermodesulfobacteriota; Syntrophorhabdia; Syntrophorhabdales; Syntrophorhabdaceae.
GCGGAAAAUGGGUCAAAAAGGACUUCUAAUCCGUAGGUCGCACGUUCGAGUCGUGCCAGGCGCG